UUUGUACUCCCUCCGUCCCAAAAUUCUUGUCUUAAAUUUGUCUAAAUACGGAUGUAUCUAGUUACAUUUUAGUGUUAGAUACAUCCGUAUCUAAACAAAUGUAAGACAAGAAUUUUGUGAUGGAGGGAAUACUAC
Molecule: non-coding RNA, 135 nt
Organism: Triticum aestivum (bread wheat)
Lineage: Eukaryota; Viridiplantae; Streptophyta; Magnoliopsida; Poales; Poaceae
Source: Rfam